This 254-nucleotide ribosomal RNA is filed under the name uncultured bacterium. Its description in RNAcentral is "partial 16S ribosomal RNA". It matches the Rfam family "Bacterial small subunit ribosomal RNA", at positions 524 to 776 of the family's 1533-position model. The record is from RNAcentral.
UACGGAGGGAGCUAGCGUUAUUCGGAAUUACUGGGCGUAAAGCGCACGUAGGCGGCUUUGUAAGUUAGAGGUGAAAGCCUGGAGCUCAACUCCAGAAUUGCCUUUAAGACUGCAUCGCUUGAAUCCAGGAGAGGUGAGUGGAAUUCCGAGUGUAGAGGUGAAAUUCGUAGAUAUUCGGAAGAACACCCAGUGGCGAAGGCGGCUCACUGGACUGGUAUUGACGCUGAGGUGCGAAAGCGUGGGGAGCAAACAGG